Molecule: ribosomal RNA, 352 nt
Filed under: uncultured bacterium
Lineage: Bacteria
Description: bacterial SSU rRNA
Rfam family: Bacterial small subunit ribosomal RNA
Source: RNAcentral
GAUGAACGCUAGCGGCAGGCUUAAUACAUGCAAGUCGUGGGGCAGCAUGAGUAGCAAUACUUGAUGGCGACCGGCAAACGGGUGAGGAACACGUACACAACCUUCCUCAAGCGGGGAAUAGCCCAGAGAAAUUUGGAUUAAUACCCCAUAAUAUAUUUGAUAAGGCAUCUUAUUAAUAUUAAAGCUUCGGCACUUGAUGAUGGGUGUGCGGCUGAUUAGAUAGUUGGCGGGGUAACGGCCCACCAAGUCUACGAUCAGUAGCUGAUGUGAGAGCAUGAUCAGCCACACGGGCACUGAGACACGGGCCCGACUCCUACGGGAGGCAGCAGUAAGGAAUAUUGGACAAUGGACG